This 440-nucleotide ribosomal RNA is filed under the name uncultured bacterium. Its description in RNAcentral is "partial 16S ribosomal RNA". It matches the Rfam family "Bacterial small subunit ribosomal RNA", at positions 338 to 795 of the family's 1533-position model. The record is from RNAcentral.
CCUACGGGGGGCAGCAGUGGGGAAUAUUGCACAAUGGGGGAAACCCUGAUGCAGCGACGCCGCGUGAGUGAAGAAGUAUUUCGGUACGUAAAGCUCUAUCAGCAGGGAAGAAAAUGACGGUACCUGACUAAGAAGCCCCGGCUAACUACGUGCCACCAGCCGCGGUAAUACGUAGGGGGCAAGCGUUAUCCGGAUGUACUGGGUGUAAAGGGAGCGUAGACGGCAGCGCAAGUCUGGAGUGAAAUCCCAUGGCUUAACCAUGGAACUGCUUUGGAAACUGUGCAGCUAGAGUGCAGGAGAGGUAAGCGGAAUUCCUAGUGUAGCGGUGAAAUGCGUAGAUAGUAGGAGGAACACCAGUGGCGAAGGCGGCUUACUGGACUGUAACUGACGUUGAGGCUCGAAAGCGUGGGGAGCAAACAGGAUUAGAUACCCCUGUAGUC